Long non-coding RNA from Felis catus (domestic cat), 2471 nucleotides. RefSeq lists it as uncharacterized. The transcript has 5 exons. NCBI's taxonomy places the organism in Eukaryota, Metazoa, Chordata, Mammalia, Carnivora, Felidae. The record is from RefSeq and is a predicted model, not a curated record.
GCCUUCAGAUGGUGGAGAAUGAUGCCUUAGACCCAGACCUGGAGUUGCCACCCUGUCCCAGCAUGAACUGCCUGCUAUUACCAUGCACCAGGGUUCUGAUUCCUUGACCUGUUUGUAGGGCUAGAUAGUGAAGACACAAUACUUCUUCCUUAUCCUGUUCACCCCUAUCCCUCACCUCCAUUUGUCUUCCCUGUUCUUUUCUUUAGGGGGAGGGGCGGCACCACAGGUGAAGCCCUUUGUCCCCACUAGGCGUGGUCCAGGUGGUGGGUGGAGUGUGCGAUUUCAAGGAAGGAAAAUGUAGCAGCUGGAGCUCUUAAGGUAGGACACGCAGUGUUUAGGGAGAGUAGGAGAAACCAGAUGGAAGGGCAGGAAAAGAUAGGGUUGGAGGCGCGUUGCGUCAGGGGCGGCUCAGAAAAUAGGAAUCAGGAACAAGUUACUGCUAGUUCUUCCACUCGCGGCUCUUCCCAGAGGAAGUGGCUCUCGCGGGAUCUCACGAGUUCCAGAGGCAUGCCAGGGGAAUCCUGGGAGGAGAAUCUGCCGGGAGCCGUGGGUCCCCGAGGCUCCUUCUCUCUGUGUUUUCCAUAAAAACGUCUGGCGCACCCCACCUAAGAAGCAAGCCCCAGUUCUGGUGGAGGCCUUGCUACCCUACUCCCCACUCGAGUCAUAGUUCAGCGGUUCCUCUUCCAAGGGGCGCGGCGAGAUUUGCCUCGUGGUGAGAACCUGCUGUGUAUCCUGUUUACAAGGUGCUUGGGGAACUUCUACUCAUGAGACACCCCAUUACCAGGUUCCGUGGGAGAAUGGAAGCCUAACUUCAGCAAGCCACCUGGCUCUAAGACUGCCUCCUGUCAUAAAUAUGUGAGAAGUUUAUUUUUACUUUUUUUAGGAUUGUUCUGCCUAUCCUAAAAGGAAGAAAGGGGUUGAAGAUCAUGCAGACAGACUCUAAAAAGGCAGAGAUCCUCCAAAACUGCAAUGUAAAUGAUAUGAUAAUGGGGGACGGAUCAUUUGAGGAUACACCUGACCUUAGUCACCUGUUUGCCCCAGAGAUUUCCCAACCUCACCAGUUUGCCUCACUCUCCUUUGGUAAGUAAUAGGUAUAUUUCGGUUCCAUCACUGCUCAUUACUAUUUAACUGCCUACUCUAACACUAUGAGAAUACCUUUUUACAUACCUAGGGCUUUUAGUUCAAGUCCCUGAUACUAAUAAUGAAUGGCAUUGGUUAAAUUACACUUUCCAAAAACAACUCCUAACUAUAACUCCUAACUAUAUGUUAACUUUGUCCAUAGUAAAAUUAUAAAUCUCCCUUUAUCAAAAGACAGAGUAAAAAUAAGGCAUAGAUAACCAACAUAUAUAACCAAUACACAUAAUCAGAAAGGACUAGUGUUCUAGAUCAUUCAAUAUAGAUCAAUGGAUUGAUAGAUGGACAAAAUUUUAAUAAGAAAAAAGAUGUAUGAAUCAAACUGAAAAUGAAUCAAAAACUUGUAUCAUCUUGAAAGGAAAUCUUUUACAAUCAUUAGUUAGCAAAUGGUUUCUCAUUACUGGAAUCCACUUUGCCUGACACCAGUAUGCUUCCUCUUUUCCCUCUAUGAUUUCCAACGGGCCAAUAAACCAAUGCAAAGGAGCCAACACUAUAAAAAAUUAAGUAAAUGCAAUAUAAAACCAAAGUAGGUUGUAAUUACAUAUCAACCAGAUUGGCAAAGAUUUAAAAUUUUGACCACACCUAAUGUUGACAAAGAUAUAAACCAAUAAAAUGCUUUCUACAAUGCUGUUGGGAGUAUAUUUGAAAAACAGUUUGGGUUUAUCUAGAAAAGUUUUGUAUUAUAUAUGACUUAUAUACUCUAGAGAAAUCCUUUCACAUUUACGUUGAAUGAUAAAUACAAAUGUUUAUAAUGGCAUUACACUACAUAGUCAAAAAUAGGAAGCUUUGCAAAAGUUUUUAAUAUAUCCUAUUUCUAUGAAAGACCUUAAUAAACAUAUCAACUGUCCUUAUAAAUAUAAUUUUGGCUGGAACAGUACUAAAAAUAAAAGAGCAAUUGAGAGUUGAAAAAAUUAAUUUCCUGUAUGAGUUAGAUGAUUUGAAAUCACUAAAAUAUUAUCAAUUAAAAAGAAGCAAAGUGAGUGAAAUAUACCACUUCUGGAUGCUAAAUCUAUUACAUAGUCCUAGUGUAGUCUUGACUUAUAGGUACCUACAUAAUAUGAAAAAAAGUCCUAAGUUUUGGUGGACUACAAGUGUAAUAUAUGCUAACGUACUAUGAUUUCCAGUAAUACCUAAGUAAUAAAACUUAAGACUCUUUUAGUACAAGCAAACAUUCUCAAAUCAAGGAAGAUAACAGCCCUGGUUUUCUCUCCACUGGUUAGUCCAUAGUUGGAAUAGGCUUCAUAGGCUAGAGAAGUAAUCUGCUUUCUUAAGGUAGACUAAGUAACACAAAUACAUGAAUUGACUAAAGUUAUUAAAACUUACACGUUCUAUAUCAA